UACCUCGCUCAAAUUUCGACACAGGAUAGGUGGAUCCUCGCUCUACCUCUCGCUCUAAUCCCCAUCCCUAUAGAUUCAUAAAUACUAUAAAAAAAAGCCUAAAAUCUUCACGUACCCAAAAAUCAACUCUGAACAUCACAAAAACUCGCUCAACUUUAUCGCUCAAUAUCUCCGCCAUCCCUCGCUCUAUCUCACUCAAAUUCGGACACAGGAUAGGUGGAUCCUCGCUCUACCUCUCGCUCUAAUCCCCAUCCCUAUAGAUUCAUAAAUACUAUAAAAAAAAAGCCUAAAAUCUUCACGUACCCAAAAAUCAACUCUGAACAUCACCAAAAACUCGCUCAACUUAAUCGCUCAAUAUCUCCGCCAUCCCUCGCUCUACCUCGCUCAAAUUCGGACACAGGAUAGGUGGAUCCUCGCUCUACCUCUCGCUCUAAUCCCCAUCCCUAUAGAUUCAUAAAUACUAUAAAAAAAAGCCUAAAAACUUGACGUACCCAAAAAUCAA
Molecule: long non-coding RNA, 502 nt
Organism: Eriocheir sinensis (Chinese mitten crab)
Lineage: Eukaryota; Metazoa; Arthropoda; Malacostraca; Decapoda; Varunidae
Exons: 2
Source: RefSeq, a predicted model, not a curated record